UGUGAUGAGCAUUUGGGUGAUUUUAGUCCCC
RNAcentral lists this non-coding RNA (31 nucleotides) under Rattus norvegicus (Norway rat). Lineage: Eukaryota; Metazoa; Chordata; Mammalia; Rodentia; Muridae. The record is from RNAcentral.